UACGGAGGAUGCGAGCGUUAUCCGGAUUUAUUGGGUUUAAAGGGUGCGUAGGCGGGCUUUUAAGUCAGCGGUAAAAAUUCGGGGCUCAACCCCGUCCGGCCGUUGAAACUGGGGGUCUUGAGUGGGCGAGAAGAAGGCGGAAUGCGUGGUGUAGCGGUGAAACGCAUAGAUAUCACGCAGAACCCCGAUUGCGAAGGCAGCCUUCCGGCGCCCUACUGACGCUGAGGCACGAAAGUGCGGGGAUCGAACAGG
This 252-nucleotide ribosomal RNA is filed under the name uncultured bacterium. RNAcentral's name for it is "partial 16S ribosomal RNA". It matches the Rfam family "Bacterial small subunit ribosomal RNA", at positions 524 to 776 of the family's 1533-position model. The record is from RNAcentral.